UACGUAGGGGCCGAGCGUUGUCCGGAGUUACUGGGCGUAAAGCGCGCGCAGGCGGCUCGUCAAGCCUGACGUGAAAGCCCACGGCUCAACCGUGGAGGGUCAUUGGAAACUGGGGGACUUGAGUGCAGGAGAGAAGAGUGGAAUUCCACGUGUAGCGGUGAAAUGCGUAGAGAUGUGGAGGAACACCAGUGGCGAAGGCGACUCUUUGGCCUGUAACUGACGCUGAGGCGCGAAAGCGUGGGGAGCAAACAGG
Molecule: ribosomal RNA, 253 nt
Filed under: uncultured bacterium
Lineage: Bacteria
Description: partial 16S ribosomal RNA
Rfam family: Bacterial small subunit ribosomal RNA
Source: RNAcentral